This is a small nuclear RNA of Rattus norvegicus (Norway rat), 143 nucleotides long. Ensembl annotates it as U4 spliceosomal RNA. The record is from Ensembl. NCBI's taxonomy places the organism in Eukaryota, Metazoa, Chordata, Mammalia, Rodentia, Muridae.
AGCUUUGCGCAGUGGCAGUGUCAUAGCCAAUGAGGUUUCUCCGAGGCGCGAUUAUUGCUAAUAGAAAUGGUUUAGCUUCCAUUUCAGAAGAAUGCCCGUAUGACAAUCUGAAAACAUUAAAUUUCUCAGAGCAAUUAAUAUUG